CCUCCCCACGUUGAUCCCCCUGGCUGCAUGUCUUACAUUCCUCUGACACUUCCUCAACAGGUUCUGGGGCUUGUCCCACUGGUGACCACAAUGCUGGGAGCCCUCAUUCCUGAGAUCUCCAGCACGCUGCCUCCAUCACAGCCAGUGGUGAUUGAAAUGCGAGAGACGCAGCCCCCGCUGGUGACAAUAACCCCAGAGAAAAGCACUGUGCACCUCUUCAGCACUGCCGAGUUCUGGGCUUCCAGUCCUGGCUCUGCUCCUGGAUCCCUCUUUGUCCUGGAUGUGCACUCUGAGCUGGGUGUGCGGUUUGCUGUCGCAGAAGAGAGGCUGCAGUUCUCCCUGACGCUGCAUAGGUAACAGCACAGGUCUGACUGACCAGUGUCACCACCAGCAAAGAGACAAUGCUGCAGUGGGGCAGUGGUGCUGGAUAUGUCUCGCACCUCGCUGGUGCACUUCCAUCUCUCCUCAUGGGUUUGUAGUGGUUGAUACUAGCAGCUAUGGGGGUCUUGGAGGAGUGUGACUGAGGAUGGAGGGGUGGUGCAGGGCAGGGCAGUGAUCCCAUGCUCCUGUCCCUACAGCCUGUCCCACGUGGCUGUGGUGAACUCCUCCAUGGGCACAUUCAAUGUGAGUCCUGCAGGGUGUGGGCAUAGCUUUACUCUUUGGGUCUGAGCUCUGCU
This 677-nucleotide long non-coding RNA is filed under the name Phasianus colchicus (ring-necked pheasant). RNAcentral's name for it is "lncRNA (ENSPCLG00000000326.1)". Lineage: Eukaryota; Metazoa; Chordata; Aves; Galliformes; Phasianidae. The record is from RNAcentral.